This 846-nucleotide ribosomal RNA is filed under the name Enterococcus faecium. Its description in RNAcentral is "partial 23S ribosomal RNA". It matches the Rfam family "Bacterial large subunit ribosomal RNA", at positions 403 to 1251 of the family's 2925-position model. The record is from RNAcentral. Lineage: Bacteria; Bacillati; Bacillota; Bacilli; Lactobacillales; Enterococcaceae.
GGAUCCUGAGUACGGCGGAACACGAGAAAUUCCGUCGGAAUCCGGGAGGACCAUCUCCCAAGGCUAAAUACUCCCUAGUGACCGAUAGUGAACCAGUACCGUGAGGGAAAGGUGAAAAGCACCCCGGAAGGGGAGUGAAAUAGAACCUGAAACCGUGUGCCUACAACAAGUCAAAGCCCGUUAAUGGGUGAUGGCGUGCCUUUUGUAGAAUGAACCGGCGAGUUACGAUUGCAUGCGAGGUUAAGUUGAAGAGACGGAGCCGCAGCGAAAGCGAGUCUGAAUAGGGCGUUUGAGUAUGUAGUCGUAGACCCGAAACCAUGUGAUCUACCCAUGUCCAGGUUGAAGGUGCGGUAAAACGCACUGGAGGACCGAACCCACGUACGUUGAAAAGUGCGGGGAUGAGGUGUGGGUAGCGGAGAAAUUCCAAACGAACUUGGAGAUAGCUGGUUCUCUCCGAAAUAGCUUUAGGGCUAGCCUCGGAAUUGAGAAUGAUGGAGGUAGAGCACUGUUUGGACUAGGGGCCCAUCUCGGGUUACCGAAUUCAGAUAAACUCCGAAUGCCAUUCAUUCAUAUCCGGGAGUCAGACUGUGAGUGAUAAGAUCCAUAGUCGAAAGGGAAACAGCCCAGACCACCAGCUAAGGUCCCAAAAUAUAUGUUAAGUGGAAAAGGAUGUGGGGUUGCACAGACAACUAGGAUGUUGGCUUAGAAGCAGCCACCAUUUAAAGAGUGCGUAAUAGCUCACUAGUCGAGUGACCCUGCGCCGAAAAUGUACCGGGGCUAAACAUAUUACCGAAGCUGUGGAGUACACCUUUAGGUGUAUUGGUAGGAGAGCGUUCUAAGGGCGUC